UCUCCUUUUGUUUGACUCUCUUUGGUACGUAAAUACCGUUAGCGCAGUACGUCGUGAACAGUAGACCGUGCAAGUUUGGGCAAAUAGAAAACGGCAAAAUAAUAUAUCAAAACGGAAAAAAGAACCGAAAAUAAAAACUUAAAACAAAAGCAAACUUUUCACUCAAAGUACGCCAUAAAAAUGGCUGAGUCGGAUGCAUAAGCUAUGCUAAUUCUUUAACACAUACAUAUAUACGUAACAAUACAGCAAAACACUUAUCAUAAACCGUUUCAAGCGGUAUAGCUGUCUGUUACAUAAAUCUCGGCGUAUGUAUGUAUAUGUGAGUGCGCGCGUGUGUAUGCCUCUGUGUGUGUGUGUGCGAAAGGCGCGUGACUAUGUGCGUUAAUGUAUAACUAGCAACAAAAUCGACAAUUAUAACAACAACAAUUAGCCAUUGUUCGCUUAAAUUGUCAAGUGUCAAUUAAAACAAUUAACGAAAGCAUAUUACGCAUACGCAACGUAAGCAGCCUUUGAAGAGCAUCUUAAUAAACAACCAAAAACAACAACAAUUACACAAUGUUCGUUGCCCAUUUCAACAAUAUCCAAUCUACUUACCAAUAAUAAUGCAAUUAACAACUAAAACAUACACAAAUAAACGAUACUUAACACAAUAAACACACUCAGCCAACUUAACACACGAACAUUAGAAGUAGAAUUAACCUGGUCCAACAAUUACAAUCAACAAACAA
This is a long non-coding RNA of Drosophila innubila, 728 nucleotides long. RefSeq lists it as uncharacterized. The transcript is spliced from 2 exons. The record is from RefSeq and is a predicted model, not a curated record. Lineage: Eukaryota; Metazoa; Arthropoda; Insecta; Diptera; Drosophilidae.